Molecule: ribosomal RNA, 221 nt
Filed under: uncultured bacterium
Lineage: Bacteria
Description: partial 16S ribosomal RNA
Rfam family: Bacterial small subunit ribosomal RNA
Source: RNAcentral
UGAGCAAUCUGCCCUUCUCUUCGGAAUAACCAUUGGAAACGAUGGCUAAUGCCGAAUAUGACCUCGGAUCACAUGUUCUGAGGUGGAAAGCUCCGGCGGAGAAGGAUGAGCUCGCGGCCUAUCAGCUUGUUGGUGAGGUAAUGGCUCACCAAGGCAUUGACGGGUAGCCGGCCUGAGAGGGUGACCGGCCACACUGGGACUGAGACACGGCCCAGACUCCG